Molecule: ribosomal RNA, 891 nt
Filed under: uncultured bacterium
Lineage: Bacteria
Description: bacterial SSU rRNA
Rfam family: Bacterial small subunit ribosomal RNA
Source: RNAcentral
AACGAACGCUGGCGGCGUGCCUAACACAUGCAAGUCGAGCGAGAAAGCCCGCAAGGGUGAGUACAGCGGCGCACGGGUGCGUAACACGUGGGUAAUCUGCCCUGAAGUCCGGAAUAACUCGCCGAAAGGCGUGCUAAUGCCGGAUGAGACCACGGGAGCUUCGGCUCCUGCGGGAAAAGGUGGCCUCUGUAUACAAGCUAUCACUUCAGGAUGAGCCCGCGGCCCAUCAGCUCGUUGGCGGGGUAAUGGCCCACCAAGGCUACGACGGGUAGCUGGUCUGAGAGGACGAUCAGCCACACUGGAACUGAGACACGGUCCAGACUCCUACGGGAGGCAGCAGUGGGGAAUCUUGCGCAAUGGGCGAAAGCCUGACGCAGCAACGCCGCGUGUGUGAUGAAGGUCUUCGGAUCGUAAAGCACUGUCGCGAGGGACGAAUAAGGGGCGGGCUAACAUCCCGUUCCGAUGACGGUACCUCGAGAGGAAGCACCGGCUAACUCUGUGCCAGCAGCCGCGGUAAUACAGAGGGUGCAAGCGUUGUUCGGAAUUAUUGGGCGUAAAGCGCGUGUAGGCGGCUUUGUAAGUUGGGUGUGAAAGCCCUCGGCUUAACCGAGGAAGUGCGCCCAAAACUGCAUGGCUUGAGUACCGGAGAGGGUGGCGGAAUUCCCGGUGUAGAGGUGAAAUUCGUAGAUAUCGGGAGGAACACCAGCGGCGAAGGCGGCCACCUGGACGGAUACUGACGCUGAGACGCGAAAGCGUGGGGAGCAAACAGGAUUAGAUACCCUGGUAGUCCACGCUGUAAACGGUGAGCGCUAGGUGUUGUGGGUGUUGACCCCUGCAGUGCCGCAGCUAACGCAUUAAGCGCUCCGCCUGGGAAGUACGGCCGCAAGGCUA